This 29-nucleotide small RNA is filed under the name Bombyx mori (domestic silkworm). Its description in RNAcentral is "ovarian small RNA-38288". The record is from RNAcentral. Lineage: Eukaryota; Metazoa; Arthropoda; Insecta; Lepidoptera; Bombycidae.
UUUCCAUAGAAACUGGUGUCUGCGUGCGC